GACGAACGCUGGCGGCGUGCUUAACACAUGCAAGUCGAACGCUGAAGCUUGGUGCUUGCACUGGGUGGAUGAGUGGCGAACGGGUGAGUAAUACGUGAGUAACCCGCCCUUGACUCUGGGAUAAGCCUGGGAAACUGGGUCUAAUACUGGAUACGACAUGUCACCGCAUGGUGGUGUGUGGAAAGGGUUUUACUGGUUUUGGAUGGGCUCACGGCCUAUCAGCUUGUUGGUGGGGUAAUGGCUCACCAAGGCGACGACGGGUAGCCGGCCUGAGAGGGUGACCGGCCACACUGGGACUGAGACACGGCCCAGACUCCUACGGGAGGCAGCAGUGGGGAAUAUUGCACAAUGGGCGGAAGCCUGAUGCAGCGACGCCGCGUGAGGGAUGACGGCCUUCGGGUUGUAAACCUCUUUCAGCACGGAAGAAGCGAAAGUGACGGUACGUGCAGAAGAAGCGCCGGCUAACUACGUG
Molecule: ribosomal RNA, 472 nt
Filed under: uncultured bacterium
Lineage: Bacteria
Description: partial 16S ribosomal RNA
Rfam family: Bacterial small subunit ribosomal RNA
Source: RNAcentral